RNAcentral lists this ribosomal RNA (406 nucleotides) under uncultured bacterium. Its description in RNAcentral is "partial 16S ribosomal RNA". It matches the Rfam family "Bacterial small subunit ribosomal RNA", at positions 30 to 526 of the family's 1533-position model. The record is from RNAcentral.
AUUGAACGCUGGCGGCAGGCUUAACACAUGCAAGUCGAACGAGUGGCGGACGGGUGAGUAAUGUUUGGGAAUCUACCUUAUGGAGGGGGAUAACUACUGGAAACGGUAGCUAAUACCGCAUACCCUAGGAUGUGCCCACGUGGGAUUAGGUAGUUGGUGGGGUAAAGGCUCACCAAGCCGACGAUCCCUAGCUGGUCUGAGAGGAUGACCAGCCACCCUGGAACUGAGACACGGCCCAGACUCCUACGGGAGGCAGCAGUGGGGAAUAUUGCGCAAUGGGCGCAAUCCUGACGCAGCCAUGCCGCGUGAAUGAAGAAGGCCUUCGGGUUGUAAAGUACUUUCGGUAGCGAGGCGUUAACUACAGAAGAAGCACCGGCUAACUCCGUGCCAGCAGCCGCGGUAAUUC